GGAUACACUUAGUGGCGGACGGGUGAGUAACGCGUGGGUACCUGCCUCACACUGGGGGAUAACAGUUAGAAAUAGCUGCUAAUACCGCAUAAGUCCGCAUGGAAAAAACUCCGGUGGUGUGAGAUGGACCCGCGUCUGAUUAGCCAGUUGGCGGGGUAACGGCCCACCAAAGCGACGAUCAGUAGCCGGCCUGAGAGGGUGAACGGCCACAUUGGGACUGAGACACGGCCCAAACUCCUACGGGAGGCAGCAGUGGGGAAUAUUGCACAAUGGGGGAAACCCUGAUGCAGCGACGCCGCGUGAGUGAAGAAGUAUUUCGGUAUGUAAAGCUCUAUCAGCAGGGAAGAAGUGACGGUACCUGAAUAAGAAGCCCCGGCUAACUACGUGCCAGCAGCCGCGGUAAUACGUAGGGGGCAAGCGUUAUCCGGAUUUACUGGGUGUAAAGGGAGCGUAGACGGCAAGGCAAGUCUGAAGUGAAAGCCCGGUGCUUAACGCCGGGACUGCUUUGGAAACUGUUUAGCUGGAGUGCCGGAGAGGUAAGCGGAAUUCCUAGUGUAGCGGUGAAAUGCGUGGAUAUUAGGAAGAACACCAGUGGCGAAGGCGGCUUACUGGACGGUAA
RNAcentral lists this ribosomal RNA (619 nucleotides) under uncultured bacterium. RNAcentral's name for it is "bacterial SSU rRNA". It matches the Rfam family "Bacterial small subunit ribosomal RNA", at positions 84 to 739 of the family's 1533-position model. The record is from RNAcentral.